Astatotilapia calliptera (eastern happy) is the source of this 1283-nucleotide long non-coding RNA. The record is from Ensembl. NCBI's taxonomy places the organism in Eukaryota, Metazoa, Chordata, Actinopteri, Cichliformes, Cichlidae.
CUUUGUUUGCCUACCCCGUGAUUACCUUUCAUACCCUAUUUAACAUUUUCCUAUAUUAGUAGUACACUACUACAACUAAUACUACUACUUGAGAGGUUCUAUUCUAGGACAAGACUGACCAGUUGACCAUUUCCUCUGUCUCACUCUUGUCCCACACAUUCAACACAUUUAUCUAUAUACGUGUCAGACAAAGAGGUCUUGGUCAAUACCACAAGUGGAGGACGAUCAGUAAAUUGCGUGUCUGGUUCAUUUGUUACCAUCAUUAUUCUGAAUGAAUGUCAGACUGGAAUGUGAAUAUUUCAGAUUCACCUCAGGAGUGCCUUUGUCACACUUUAAUCUUGGUAAAGGUUGUCUUUAAUGUAAAAUUAGUAAGUAUUUAUCCUGUUUUAUCCUUUGUUGGUGAGAUACCUUUGUAGUUAAGUUUUAUUGUACUUUUUAUUUGUAACAUGGAAUGGUUCUUUUUCUGUUGUGACCUGCCUGGACUUUUUUUUUUUUUUUUUCAAAUCUAAAUAUCAGAUGUAUUCAGCAAGUUUAGUCCAAAUUGUGCACACUGUCUGGAUUCAGUCUGUUAUAUUAUCAUUGUGGUGUUUGUCUUAAAAAAGAAAGAAAUCAAAAUAGUUUCUCUGAUCUUUCUUUCUUUCUUUCUAAAAAUUCUGGCCACUGUUCUGUUAAAUGCAGUCAGAUAUGGGUGUGUUCUUAGCAGAGUAUUUCCACAGUGGCAGUAAUGAAAAAUGUCACCGAAACAGAUGUUACAUUAACUGUAUUUUGAGUAGUCAACACAAUUAGACCUGUAAAAACAACAUGGUAUUGUUACUGAUGGAAGCUUGACCAUAUAAACAUUCAUAUAAACAGCAAAAAUGAAUCAAUUUCAGUAACUGCAAUUUUCAUUUUACUGCCAGUGUUUGGUAAUGUAAGUGUGUGACGUACAUUGCCACUCUUUGCCGAUUCACAUUAUUGUAGUGCUGAAAGUAUGGAGUUGUAAGAAGUCAAAGGCACCUCUAAGACUUAUUUUAUGAGACUUUCUUUUAACAUUUAUUCAGUGUAACCAAAAAACACUGAGCCUCUACCGUUAAGUGGCUGAAUGCUUCCCCCUAGUGUCAGUGUGUUGAAUAAUUAGAUACCCUUUUUAAAAGCAGUCCAUAAAUUAAAUGCUUACACAUGUAGGAAUAGAUUGCUUGCUAAAGAUAUAGAUAUUCACAGUGACAGGUUUUGUCAUUUUGAGCCUUGCAUAAAUCCUUCAAACUCGAACUUCGAACAAUACAAGAAAGAUUUUUUUCUCUUCU